UACGUAGGGCGCAAGCGUUGUCCGGAAUUAUUGGGCGUAAAGAGCUCGUAGGCGGCUUGUCACGUCGGGUGUGAAAGCCCGGGGCUUAACCCCGGGUCUGCAUUCGAUACGGGCUGGCUAGAGUGUGGUAGGGGAGAUCGGAAUUCCUGGUGUAGCGGUGAAAUGCGCAGAUAUCAGGAGGAACACCGGUGGCGAAGGCGGGUCUCUGGGCCGAUAUUGACGCUGAGGAGCGAAAGCGUGGGGAGCGAACAGG
RNAcentral lists this ribosomal RNA (253 nucleotides) under uncultured bacterium. RNAcentral describes it as "partial 16S ribosomal RNA". It matches the Rfam family "Bacterial small subunit ribosomal RNA", at positions 524 to 776 of the family's 1533-position model. The record is from RNAcentral.